Molecule: ribosomal RNA, 482 nt
Filed under: uncultured bacterium
Lineage: Bacteria
Description: bacterial SSU rRNA
Rfam family: Bacterial small subunit ribosomal RNA
Source: RNAcentral
GAUGAACGCUGGCGGCGUGCCUAACACAUGCAAGUCGAGCGGAGCAAAGGUGCUUGCACUUUCGUUUAGCGGCGGACGGGUGAGUAACACGUGAGCAAUCUGUCAUAUGGAGCGGGAUAACAAUAAGAAAUUAUUGCUAAUACCGCAUAAACUUGGGAUACCGCAUGAGAACCCAAGCAAAGAAUUUCGCCAUAUGGGGAGCUCGCGUCUGAUUAGCUAGUUGGUGGGGCAACGGCCUACCAAGGCGACGAUCAGUAGCCGACCUGAGAGGGUGAUCGGCCACAUUGGGACUGAGACACGGCCCAAACUCCUACGGGAGGCAGCAGUGAGGAAUAUUGCACAAUGGGCGCAAGCCUGAUGCAGCAACGCCGCGUGAAGGAAGAAGGAUUUUGGUUCGUAAACUUCUAUCGAUGGGGACGAAAUUUUGACGGUACCCAAGUAAGCAGCCCCGGCUAACUACGUGCCAGCAGCCGCCGUAAUAC